AGCGAACGCUGGCGGCAGGCCUAACACAUGCAAGUCGAACGAACCUUUCGGGGUUAGUGGCGGACGGGUGAGUAACACGUGGGAACGUGCCUUUAGGUUCGGAAUAACUUAGGGAAACUUGUGCUAAUACCGAAUGUGCCCUUCGGGGGAAAGAUUUAUCGCCUUUAGAGCGGCCCGCGUCUGAUUAGCUAGUUGGUUGAGGUAAUGGCUCACCAAGGCGACGAUCAGUAGCUGGUCUGAGAGGAUGAUCAGCCACAUUGGGACUGAGACACGGCCCAAACUCCUACGGGAGGCAGCAGUGGGGAAUCUUGCGCAAUGGGCGAAAGCCUGACGCAGCCAGGCCGCGUGAAUGAUGAAGGUCUUAGGAUUGUAAAAUUCUUUCACCGGGGACGAUAAUGACGGUACCGGAGAAGAAGCCCCGGCUAACUUCGUG
This 433-nucleotide ribosomal RNA is filed under the name uncultured bacterium. Its description in RNAcentral is "partial 16S ribosomal RNA". It matches the Rfam family "Bacterial small subunit ribosomal RNA", at positions 29 to 507 of the family's 1533-position model. The record is from RNAcentral.